AUGGCACGCCGUCACGGGUCCAGGCAGCAUGCGGGCCCACCGCCUCACAGAGCGUCCUGUGUUGCAGAGCCCAAAACCAGCCCCCAUGUCUUCCCGCUGAGCCUCAAGACCAGUGACCCAGCCGGGCAAGUGGUCAUUGCCUGCCUGGUGCAAGGGUUCUUCCCGCCGGAGCCCGUGACAGUGACUUGGAGCCCCAGCAAGGAAGGCGCGUCCAUCCGGAACUUCCCCGCGGUGAAGUCUGCUUCUGGGAACCUGUACACCACGAGCAGCCAGCUGACCCUGCCGGCUAGCCAGUGCCCCGAUGGCACGUCCCUGCAAUGCCACGUGGAGCACUAUUCCAUCACCAGCCCGGCCGUGUCUGUGCCCUGCAGAGAUGACCCCCCUCCUCAGUGUUCCCCGUGCAAUGAACCCCACCUGUCACUACACAAGCCCGCCCUCGAGGACCUGCUUCUGGGCUCCAAUGCCAGCAUCACGUGCACACUGAGCGGCCUGAAAAACCCCAAGGGUGCCCUGUUUUCCUGGACACCCUCAGGGGGGAAGGAGGCCAUCCAGAAGCCCCCGGAGCGUGACUCCUGUGGCUGCUACAGUGUGUCCAGUGUCCUUCCAGGCUGCGCUGAGCCAUGGAACCGUGGGGAGAACUUCUCCUGCACCGCCACCCAUCCCGAGCUCAAGACGCCAAAAACUGACACCAUCUCCAAAGUCCUAGAGAACACUUUCCGGCCCCAGGUCCACCUGCUGCCGCCGCCGUCGGAAGAGCUGGCCCUCAAUGAGCUGGUGUCGCUGACGUGCCUCGUGCGAGGCUUCAGCCCCGAGGACGUGCUGGUACGAUGGCUGCAAGGAUCCCAGGAGCUGUCCCGGGAGAAGUACCUGACCUGGGGCCCCCUGCAGGAGCCCGACCAGAGCGUCCCCACCUUUGCCACGACCAGCGUGCUGCGAGUGUCGGCCGAGGACUGGAAGCAGGGGGAGAAGUUCUCCUGCAUGGUGGGUCACGAGGCCCUGCCCCUGGCCUUCACCCAGAAGACCAUCGACCGCCUGGCGGACUCUCAGUGUCUUGCAGAUUUCCGGGAGCCACUUCCCUGGCUGGUGCUGGACCUACCGCAGGAGGACCUGGAGGAAGACGCCCCAGGAGCCAGCCUGUGGCCUACCACGGUCACCUUGCUCACCCUCUUCCUACUGAGUCUCUUCUACAGCACAGCGCUGACCGUGACAAGUGUGCGGGGCCCAACCGACAGCAGAGAGGGCCCCCAGUACUGAGCAGAAGCCAGCCAGGCACAUAGGGAGGAGGCUGGAGGAGCUUCUGGGAAGCCCAGCUGGAUGUCAGAGCUCAGUGCUGCUCAGAAACUGCCCGCCCACCCCCACACACAGGCCGUGCUGGCACAAUAAACUGAUCCCAAAGGCAAA
Non-coding RNA from Neofelis nebulosa (Clouded leopard), 1401 nucleotides. The record is from the annotation of a RefSeq genome assembly. Lineage: Eukaryota; Metazoa; Chordata; Mammalia; Carnivora; Felidae.